Molecule: non-coding RNA, 79 nt
Filed under: unclassified sequences
Description: skipping-rope RNA
Rfam family: skipping-rope RNA
About the family: Firmicutes, Fusobacteria, AlphaProteobacteria, Spirochaetes. Downstream gene
Source: Rfam by way of RNAcentral
AAGCCUUGAGGACGGAACGGGCCGCCGUCGCCCCCAAUUUAGGGUUAGGAGAUGCAGGAAUGUCACCCUGCCAAGGUUG